Long non-coding RNA from Alligator mississippiensis (American alligator), 429 nucleotides. RefSeq lists it as uncharacterized. NCBI's taxonomy places the organism in Eukaryota, Metazoa, Chordata, Crocodylia, Alligatoridae. The transcript has 2 exons. The record is from RefSeq and is a predicted model, not a curated record.
CAGAGAGUGUAAAAAUGAAAAUGCUGACAGACCUGUAGAGUUGUUCAGCCAAAAUCCAGUUCCCUUCAGGGACCCGGAGCCAGGAGUUGUGCACUGUGCAGUAGCUGGGGGGAAACGAACAGGCUGGUGCAGACUCGGGGCUCAUGUAGCUCCAGCCUGAGCCCUCUUCCAGCCAGGUGAGUCCCUCAUUAGCUCCCCCCUGCCCCCUAAAAGCAGCCUCUCAGGCUGCUUGCUCUCCUAAAGGGUCAGGCACAUCCCAGUGCCCUGUUACAUAUUCUGUAUACUAGAUAACCAUGAUAGUUGAUUACUGUGUUAAUUAUUUGUACGUCCUUCGAUGAGGAGAGGUGACAAUCCUGACUAAAGUUCUGUUGUAGCAGAUGCUGUACAAAUGCAAAUAAAGACUUAGGGUGUGUGUAAAUGAAAUGAAAA